AUGUAUAGCAAUAGCUAUUUGCACUAAUUUUUUUUUAGUGUAAAAUCGACUAUGUUGAAUGAAAUUCUGGGUAGGUUUAUGAUAAUGACAUUACCUGUCUAUAAGUCUUGACCAAAUUACGUGCCAGCAGUCGCGGCAAUACGUAGAAGACAAGUGUUAUUCAUCUUUAAUAGGUUUAAAGGGUACUUAGACGGUAAAUAAAGCCUUUAAAAGGGACUAGUUUGCUAGAGUUUUAUGUGAAGGGGUUUUAAAGUACUACUGGUGUAGAGAUGAAAUUCAGUCAUACCUAAGAUGGCACAGGUUAAGGCGAAAGCAUCUUCUUAUGUAAAAACUGACGUUGAAGGACGAAGGCUUUGUGUCUCGAACAGGAUUAGAUACCCUAGUAGUCUAAGCAGAAAAUGAUGAAUGUCAUAGAUUAGAUAUAAUUUGAUCUAUAAAUGAAAGUGUAAGCAUUCCACCUCAAGAGUAAUUUGGCAACAUUGGAACUGAAAUCAUUAGACCGUUUCUGAAACCAGUAGUGAAGUAUGUUGUUUAAUUUGAUAGUCCGCAAAAAACCUUACCACAAUUUGAAUAGAUAUAAUUUAUCAUACAAGCGUUGCACGGCUGUCUUCAGUUAAUGUCGUGAGACUUUGGUUAGUUCCAUUAAAUUAACGUAAACCCUUACUUUAUUUUUAUAUAAAGUAGUUCACCGCUAUAUUGGAUG
Molecule: ribosomal RNA, 703 nt
Filed under: Calogaya aff. lobulata SK805
Lineage: Eukaryota; Fungi; Ascomycota; Lecanoromycetes; Teloschistales; Teloschistaceae
Description: mitochondrial SSU rRNA
Rfam family: Bacterial small subunit ribosomal RNA
Source: RNAcentral